GAUGAACGCUAGCGGCAGGCUUAAUACAUGCAAGUCGUGGGCAGCGCAGGUAGCAAUACUGGGCGGCGACCGGCAAACGGGCGCGGAACACGUACACAACCUUCCGAGAAGUGGGGAAUAGCCCAGAGAAAUUUGGAUUAAUACCCCCGUAACAUAACGAUGUGGCAUCACAUUGUUAUUAUAGCUUCGGCGCUUCUUGAUGGGUGUGCGGCUGAUUAGAUAGUUGCGGGGUAACGCCCACCAAGUCUACGAUCAGUAGCUGAUGUGAGAGCAUGAUCAGCCACACGGGCACUGAGACACGGGCCCGACUCCUACGGGAGCAGCAGUAAGGAAUAUUGGUCAAUGGACGCAAGUCUAGACCAGCCAUGCCGCGUGAAGGA
This 380-nucleotide ribosomal RNA is filed under the name uncultured bacterium. Its description in RNAcentral is "bacterial SSU rRNA". It matches the Rfam family "Bacterial small subunit ribosomal RNA", at positions 28 to 408 of the family's 1533-position model. The record is from RNAcentral.